RNAcentral lists this ribosomal RNA (237 nucleotides) under uncultured bacterium. RNAcentral's name for it is "partial 16S ribosomal RNA". It matches the Rfam family "Bacterial small subunit ribosomal RNA", at positions 118 to 353 of the family's 1533-position model. The record is from RNAcentral.
UGAGCAAUCUGCCCUUCUCUUUGGAAUAAGCGUUGGAAACGACGUCUAAUGCCGAAUACGACCUCCUUUCGCAUGAUCGGAGGUGGAAAGCUCCGGUGGAGAAGGAUGAGCUCGCGGCCUAUCAGCUAGUUGGUGUGGGUAAUGGCCCACCAAGGCGACGACGGGUAGCCGGCCUGAGAGGGUGACCCGGCCACACUGGGACUGAGACACGGCCCAGACUCCGUACGGGAGGCAGCG